This 312-nucleotide ribosomal RNA is filed under the name Fusarium sp. BN-2001. Its description in RNAcentral is "eukaryotic LSU rRNA". It matches the Rfam family "Eukaryotic large subunit ribosomal RNA", at positions 335 to 666 of the family's 3401-position model. Lineage: Eukaryota; Fungi; Ascomycota; Sordariomycetes; Hypocreales; Nectriaceae. The record is from RNAcentral.
CGAUAGCGAACAAGUAGAGUGAUCGAAAGAUGAAAAGCACUUUGAAAAGAGAGUUAAAAAGUACGUGAAAUUGUUGAAAGGGAAGCGUUUAUGACCAGACUUGGGCUUGGUUAAUCAUCUGGGGUUCUCCCCAGUGCACUUUUCCAGUCCAGGCCAGCAUCAGUUUUCCCCGGGGGAUAAAGGCGGCGGGAAUGUGGCUCUCUUCGGGGAGUGUUAUAGCCCACCGUGUAAUACCCUGGGGGGGACUGAGGUUCGCGCAUCUGCAAGGAUGCUGGCGUAAUGGUCAUCAACGACCCGUCUUGAAACACGGAC